This 60-nucleotide transfer RNA is filed under the name Plaxiphora albida. Its description in RNAcentral is "tRNA-Lys". The record is from RNAcentral. Lineage: Eukaryota; Metazoa; Mollusca; Polyplacophora; Chitonida; Mopaliidae.
CUAAGUAACCUAGAAAAGGUACUAAACUUUUAAUUUAGCAACGAUAUUUAUCUAUCCUUA